GAUGAAGAGCGCAGCGAAAUGCGAUAAGUAGUGUGAAUUGCAGAAUUCAGUGAAUCAUCGAAUCUUUGAACGCACAUUGCGCCCCUUGGUAUUCCAUGGGGCAUGCCUGUUCGAGCGUCAUUUGUACCUUCAAGCUCUGCUUGGUGUUGGGUGUUUGUCUCGCCUCUGCGUGUAGACUCGCCUCAAAACAAUUGGCAGCCGGCGUAUUGAUUUCGGAGCGCAGUACAUCUCGCGCUUUGCACUCAUAACGACGACGUCCAAAAGUACAUUUUUACACUCUUGACCUCGGAUCAGGUAGGGAUACCCGCUGAACUUAAGCAUAUCAAUAAGCGGAGGA
RNAcentral lists this unclassified non-coding RNA (337 nucleotides) under soil metagenome. Its description in RNAcentral is "partial contains 5.8S ribosomal RNA, internal transcribed spacer 2, and large subunit ribosomal RNA". The stretch from base 1 to 120 matches the Rfam family "5.8S ribosomal RNA", at positions 35 to 154 of the family's 154-position model. The record is from RNAcentral.